Molecule: transfer RNA, 75 nt
Filed under: Candidatus Ryanbacteria bacterium RIFCSPLOWO2_02_FULL_45_11c
Lineage: Bacteria; Candidatus Ryaniibacteriota
Description: tRNA-Glu
Rfam family: tRNA
About the family: Transfer RNA (tRNA) molecules are approximately 80 nucleotides in length. Their secondary structure includes four short double-helical elements and three loops (D, anti-codon, and T loops). Further hydrogen bonds mediate the characteristic L-shaped molecular structure. tRNAs have two regions of fundamental functional importance: the anti-codon, which is responsible for specific mRNA codon recognition, and the 3' end, to which the tRNAs corresponding amino acid is attached (by aminoacyl-tRNA synthetases). tRNAs cope with the degeneracy of the genetic code in two manners: having more than one tRNA (with a specific anti-codon) for a particular amino acid; and 'wobble' base-pairing, i.e. permitting non-standard base-pairing at the 3rd anti-codon position.
Source: RNAcentral
GGUCCCAUCGUCUAACGGUUAGGACAUCACGCUUUCAAUGUGAGAAUCGGGGUCCGACUCCCCGUGGGACCGCCC